RNAcentral lists this long non-coding RNA (628 nucleotides) under Cricetulus griseus (Chinese hamster). RNAcentral's name for it is "lncRNA (ENSCGRG00015040536.1)". Lineage: Eukaryota; Metazoa; Chordata; Mammalia; Rodentia; Cricetidae. The record is from RNAcentral.
GCCACUUUUGUAGUUGGCAGGCGUUGCGUUGCGUCGCUGUAGCUGUGUUCCGUAGGGAGGGUUUCUCUGUGCAGCUUUGGAGCCUGUCCUUGAAGUCGCUUCGAUAGAUAGACCAGGCUGCCCUCGAACUCACAGAGAUCCUCCUGCCUCUGCCUCCCGAGUGCUGGGAUUAAAGGCGUGCGUGGCCACCGCCUGGCUGGUUCUUCGCUCUUAAGCUGACAAAAAUGCACAUAACCGGUCCUCCUGUUCCUCAUGUUGUGGUGACCGCCAACCAUAAAAUUAUUUUGUUGCAAGGCUGGAGAGAUGGCUCGGCAGUUAAGAGCACUGACUGUUCUUCCAGAGGUCCGGAGUUCAAUUCCCAGCAACCACAUGGUGGCUAACAACCACCUUGAAUGAGAUUUGGUGCCUUCUGCUGGCAUGCAGGCAGCAGAAGACUGUAUACAUAAUAAAUAAAAUCUUUUUUAAAAAACUAUUUUGCGGCUACUUCAUAGCUGUAAUUGUUUUUGUUUGUUUUUCGAGACAGGGUUUCUCUAUGUAGCUUUGGAGGCUGUCCUGGAACUCACUCUGGAGACCAGGCUGGCCUCGAACUCCCAGAGAUCCGCCUGCCUCUACCUCCCGAGUUCUGGAA